UUCAUCUUACUUCUGUUUACCAUUGUUUGACCUCGAUCUUCUCUAUCUUUGGUCAAUACUUGUUGAUUAUUUCUUUCCAUUUCCAUUAAUGCACUUUAAUAUUCUUCUUCUUCUUCUUCUUCUUCUUCUUCUUCUUCUUCUCCUUUUUUUUCUUUUUUGGUCAAUGAUGGUUAGCAUUGAUACAUGGAGGUUUAACCUUCCUUGAUUCAAAUCUAAUUCAUCUUGAUCAUGGAUCAAGUGAAUGGCUUUGUAUUAAGGAUGUGUUGCUUCCU
Molecule: long non-coding RNA, 272 nt
Filed under: Lathyrus oleraceus (garden pea)
Lineage: Eukaryota; Viridiplantae; Streptophyta; Magnoliopsida; Fabales; Fabaceae
Description: Pisum sativum (pea) long non-coding RNA (PSAT_LNC008216)
Source: RNAcentral